Molecule: ribosomal RNA, 427 nt
Filed under: uncultured bacterium
Lineage: Bacteria
Description: partial 16S ribosomal RNA
Rfam family: Bacterial small subunit ribosomal RNA
Source: RNAcentral
UGGGGAAUAUUGCACAAUGGGCGCAAGCCUGAUGCAGCCAUGCCGCGUGUAUGAAGAAGGCCUUCGGGUUGUAAAGUACUUUCAGCGGGGAGGAAGGCGAUAAGGUUAAUAACCUUGUCGAUUGACGUUACCCGCAGAAGAAGCACCGGCUAACUCCGUGCCAGCAGCCGCGGUAAUACGGAGGGUGCAAGCGUUAAUCGGAAUUACUGGGCGUAAAGCGCACGCAGGCGGUCUGUCAAGUCGGAUGUGAAAUCCCCGGGCUCAACCUGGGAACUGCAUUCGAAACUGGCAGGCUAGAGUCUUGUAGAGGGGGGUAGAAUUCCAGGUGUAGCGGUGAAAUGCGUAGAGAUCUGGAGGAAUACCGGUGGCGAAGGCGGCCCCCUGGACAAGGACUGACGCUCAGGUGCGAAAGCGUGGGGAGCAAACA